RNAcentral lists this non-coding RNA (747 nucleotides) under Anaplecta omei. The record is from RNAcentral. Lineage: Eukaryota; Metazoa; Arthropoda; Insecta; Blattodea; Anaplectidae.
GGUAAGUUUGAUUCUUGCUUAAUCAUUAAUUUUGAAUAUAUUUUAUAUGUAAAUUUUUCUCUUAAUGUAUUUAUGGUUAUGCAAUAUUUUUAAUUGAAUAUCAAGGAGUCUUGGAUUUGGUAAUAUUUUUUGUAUUGGUUAAUUUUGUGCCAGCAGCCGCGGUUAUACAUUAGAUGCUAGUUAAUGAGGUUCGCUUUGUAGUUUUUGAAUCAUUAUAUGGUAUUGAUUUUCUUUUUUUAGGUGGAAUUAUGAUUUUGUUUAUUAUUAUGUAGGCUGCGAAGCUCUUCGGUUAGACUAGGAUUAGAUACCCUAUUAUUCUGAGUGUAAAUAAAUUAUUUUGAGUAGUAUUAGCUAUGUUCUUGAAACUUAAAGAAUUUGGCGGUAUUUUAGUCCUUUUAGAGGAAUCUGUCUUGUAAUCGAUAUUCCGCGUUGUACCUUUCUUUUAUUAUCUUUGUAUACCUCCGUUAUGAGAAGAUUCUUUAAGGAGUAAAAAUUUUCUUUUUUUUUUGUAAAAAUUUAUUUCAGGUCAAGGUGCAGGUAAUAUUUAAGUUUAGAUGGAUUACGUUGUUUUUUAAUUUUUUUGGUUUCUUUUUGAAAAUUUUGAUUAAAUCGGAUUUAAUUGUAAUUUUAUAUAGAUUGUUAUUUUGAAAAGGCUCUGUAAUAUGUACACAUCGCCCGUCACUCUCGUUUUUAAUAUGAGAAAAGUCGUAACAUAGUGGUCGUACCGGAAGGUGUGGCUGGAAUAAC